This 923-nucleotide long non-coding RNA is filed under the name Drosophila melanogaster (fruit fly). Its description in RNAcentral is "long non-coding RNA:CR44178 (Dmel_CR44178)". Lineage: Eukaryota; Metazoa; Arthropoda; Insecta; Diptera; Drosophilidae. The record is from RNAcentral.
GUGUUUUCAAAAAAUUGUUGAAGAAACUAUCUCAAAUUACCUUUCAGUACAUAUAUUGCAUAAAUAUCAUUUAAGCCUUGAAAUUUGUAAGAUGUUACAAAACAUUUAAAAUAAUUACUGGAUAUGUUGUAGCUCCUCACGUAAGCCUUUCCAUUAUGGAUGCAGGACAUGCACUCUACUGCACACCAAUACCUUCAGAAAACUCCUGGCCAAGUGUGUGCAAUCAGGAGCGAAACGAGGACAUUGCAGGCCAAAAACAAAAUCAAUGAAAUUCCCCCUACUUCCUUUGGCAGGAGGUAAAAAGAGAAAGGCCAGGGGGUAGGGUAUUGAAAGAGGGGUGGCCUGGUUUGUUCGUCUGGCCGAUGUUUGCCUUUCGGAUUCGUCCUGCAGGCGAGACCAAAGUUAUUAGUCCGCAACACCUUUUGGCGUUGCCGCAUUAGCCAAACAGCAUAAAAAAUGCAAGAAAAAAAAACACCAUGCAUUUAAGCAAACAGACAGCUAAUGGUUUUUCUUUCGAUGGCGUCUGAAAAGGAAAAGUUUUGCGUUCACAUAGGGAAAAUAUUUGCACUGAGGCAUGAAAGACUGCAACAUUUCCUCCUUUUACCCAGCUGUUAUAUCAGAACGGUUAUGAUGAUGCGCUCACCAUUCGACAGUUAUUUUAAUAUAAUUAACCUUGGUCACGCCACUUGGCGAAGUGGGUUACGAAAAAUUUGCAAGCCAAACACAAGCAAGAAAAUUGCGCAAACAAGUGACCCCGAGUAGUAAUUAAACCGCCAGCCGCACAACAAGUUACUCAUCUAAUCAAUGAAUUGAGCGUGGUCACUGAACCCCAUAAACAUAAAUAAGUGUUGCGUAAGAUAAGACGUGGAAACUGUUGACUUCCUAUAACUAUAAUUAUUAACCGAUGAAUAAUUCUCAUAUUC